AACGAACGCUGGCGGCAUGCCUAACACAUGCAAGUCGAACGAGACCUUCGGGUCUAGUGGCGCACGGGGGCGUAACGCGUGGGAACCUGCCCUUAGGUUCGGAAUAACUCCCCGAAAGGGGUGCUAAUACCGGAUAAGGUCUUCGGACCAAAGAUUUAUCGCCUUUGGAUGGGCCCGCGUUGGAUUAGCUAGUUGGUAGGGUAAAAGCAUACCAAGGCGACGAUCCAUAGCUGGUAUGAGAGGAUGAUCAGCCACGCUGGGACUGAGACACGGCCCAGAAUCCUACGGGAGGCAGCAGUGGGGAAUAUUGGACAAUGGGCGAAAGCCUGAUCCCGCAAUGCCGCGUGAGUGAUGAAGGCCUUAGGGUUGUAAAGCUCUUUUACCCGGGAUGAUAAUGACAGUACCGGGAGAAUAAGCUCCGGCUAACUACGUG
This 433-nucleotide ribosomal RNA is filed under the name uncultured bacterium. Its description in RNAcentral is "partial 16S ribosomal RNA". It matches the Rfam family "Bacterial small subunit ribosomal RNA", at positions 29 to 507 of the family's 1533-position model. The record is from RNAcentral.